RNAcentral lists this ribosomal RNA (400 nucleotides) under uncultured bacterium. RNAcentral describes it as "bacterial SSU rRNA". It matches the Rfam family "Bacterial small subunit ribosomal RNA", at positions 425 to 793 of the family's 1533-position model. The record is from RNAcentral.
GUAAAGCUACUUUCAGUAGGGAGGAAGGUAGUGUAGUUAACACCUGCAUUUAUUUGACGUUACCUACAGAAGAAGCACCGGCUAACUCCGUGCCAGCAGCCGACGGUAAUACGGGAGGGUGCGAGACGUUUAAGUACGGUAAUUACGUGGGACGUAAAGCGCAUGCAGGCGGCCUAGUUAAGUCAGAUGUAGAAACGGCCCGGGGUACCUUAACCGUACGGUAAUUGCUAUUUAGAAACGUGGCGAGGCUAGAGUCUUGUAGAGGGGGUAGAAUUUCAGGUGUAGCGGUGAAAUGCGUAGAGAUCUGAAGGAAUACCAGUGGCGAAGGCGGCCCCCUGGACAAAGACUGACGCUCAGAUGCGAAAGCGUGGGGAGCAAACAGGAUUAGAUACCCUGGUAA